CUAUCAUUAGUUUGCACCAAAUCCUUGGCAAUAGGUAUUACUCUACACUUCUCGACUUUUACAUAUAUAAAUUAAUACACUUAUGUAUGUAUAUACAUCAUACGUUCAUACAAUAAUCAUCACAAGAAACAUGUCUUGGUCCACUAUAACAUAAAAGUUAUAUAUACAGUGAUCGAGUCUUUGAAAAUUUUAUAUUAACGUUUUCUUUUGGUAUCUUCUCUAGAUGGUCAGCAAUCGCAGCAAAAUUGCCUGGAAGAACGGAUAAUGAGAUCAAGAACGUAUGGCACACUCACUUGAAGAAAAGGCUGGAAGAUAAUCAACCCGCUAAACCUAAGACCAGCAACAAGAAAAAGAGUACUAAACCCAAAUCUCAGUCUGUACCAGCAAAAUCAAAGAGUACUAAAACCGAAUCGGAGCUCGCAAGCUCAUCGAACCCUUCUUUUGAAAGUUUGUUAUCCUUGGCAAUAGGUAUUACUCUACACUUCUCGACUUUUACAUAUAUAAAUUAAUACACUUAUGUAUGUAUAUACAUCAUACGUUCAUACAAUAAUCAUCACAAGAAACAUGUCUUGGUCCACUAUAACAUAAAAGUUAUAUAUACAGUGAUCGAGUCUUUGAAAAUUUUAUAUUAACGUUUUCUUUUGGUAUCUUCUCUAGAUGGUCAGCAAUCGCAGCAAAAUUGCCUGGAAGAACGGAUAAUGAGAUCAAGAACGUAUGGCACACUCACUUGAAGAAAAGACUGGAAGAUUAUCAACCCACUAAACCUAAGACCAGCAACAAGAAAAAGAGUACUAAACCCAAAUCUCAGUCUGUACCAGCAAAAUCAAAGAGUACUAAAACCGAAUCGGAGCUCGCAAGCUCAUCGAACCCUUCUUUUGAAAGUUUGUUCUCAGCAUCACCUUCGGCGA
This 908-nucleotide long non-coding RNA is filed under the name Brassica napus (rape). RNAcentral describes it as "long non-coding RNA (BNAP_LNC001551)". The record is from RNAcentral. Lineage: Eukaryota; Viridiplantae; Streptophyta; Magnoliopsida; Brassicales; Brassicaceae.